Long non-coding RNA from Ornithorhynchus anatinus (platypus), 1111 nucleotides. RefSeq lists it as uncharacterized. The record is from RefSeq and is a predicted model, not a curated record. Lineage: Eukaryota; Metazoa; Chordata; Mammalia; Monotremata; Ornithorhynchidae. The transcript has 6 exons.
GCUGGAUUGGCUCACCGAUGGGAAGAUCUGGGCUACCUCGGACAGGCUGUGGCACCAGGCCCUGCCCUGUCAAAGCGGGAGGCAGCCAGCUCUCCUCAAAGGUAUUUGCUUCUUCAGAGCUGAGACUGAGGUGCUGAUCCAUCCACUGGGCUCCUACUAUCCUGAUUUUACCCUCCAAAGAAAUAGGAGGCAUAUAAAUCUUGUGCCUUACGAUCCACUCCAGUACUGACCAACAGAGGUUUCAAUGAGCUACUGGCAAGCUCCAAUUAGAGGGAAAUUUGGACUCAAUGAGUCCGUUGUGGGUACGAUUAGUUGUGUGAGCAGCCUUUGUGCCUGCAGGUUUCUGUGGUUGCAGAAUUAAGUAUGCACAAAGGAAGACCACCCUUUGAAAUUUAGGCCUCACAGGAUAACCGACUGUGUGCUGACUCGCGUUCAUAAAGGGCAGCUUUCUCCUCACACAGCAAGUACAAUCCAGCUUUAUAAUAGGGUGUUUUAUAUUCUACUGUUUGGAAAAGGUUGGAAAUAGAAUGCCUGUUCCUUCUAAUUCCCCAGGUUUUGGGUGGGGGGUAGUGAAGAAAUAUUUUCUUAUGAGUUGUUUGAAGCCAGUCACUCGUUCAUUCAGGGGCUGAUUAGCCAGUUUCUGAAUUAUCUGUGUGUUGCUAUUGUUUCUCCUCUAUGUCAGUCCUGGGGAUAUGCGCUCCGUGACCUCCACCAUCAGGCGGAACACCAGGAGGCUGGGCUGGUGGGAAUGGUGAAAUAACAACAGGCAAAGGAAGCAGCAGUUAAUUCCAAGGAUCCAGAAAUCACCCCACUCAUUGCAAUUUCCCCAAGUUAUACCGGGAACACUCGGAAGCAUCAUUAUGGAACAUCAAAAAUCUCUUCUGGGGUUGAACUCAAAGGUCAGAGCCAUAAGCUUUAUCCGAGUGCAUUUACCUGAGCAGUAUCCUGUCCAAAGACACACUGAUUGCCAAAGAAGUGGAUUACCGAUUCCAGUGGGCCAACAAACCUUUCAGUGAGGAUGGAAUACAGAAGUCGAUCUUCAUAUUCACCCUGAACGGGAAACUUUCGACAGUUCGGCUGCUAGAAGAGGAUGAACAGGAAUAGAGAGCAA